GGGAAACCCACAUGAAAAGACUUCAUGUAUCCAUACGCCAAUCCAUAACGUAUGGAGGGGAACCUGGUGAACUGAAACAUCUAAGUAACCAGAGGAGGAGAAAGAAAACUCGAUUUCCUAAGUAGCGGCGAGCGAACGGGAAAGAGCCCAAACCAGCGUGUGUGCAUGCUGGGUUCGGACUGCAGAAAUGAUUCGUCAAGGGUAAUGGAACGGUUUUGGGAAAGCCGGCCAGAGAGGGUGAAAGCCCCGUACAUGAAACCUGAGAUGAC
Molecule: ribosomal RNA, 269 nt
Filed under: Florenciella parvula
Lineage: Eukaryota; Dictyochophyceae; Florenciellales
Description: partial Bacterial large subunit ribosomal RNA
Rfam family: Bacterial large subunit ribosomal RNA
Source: RNAcentral